ACACGCCUACGGGACGCAGCAGUGGGGGAUAUUGCACAAUGGGGGAAACCCUGAUGCAGCGACGCCGCGUGAGCGAUGAAGUAUUUCGGUAUGUAAAGCUCUAUCAGCAGGGAAGAAAAUGACGGUACCUGACUAAGAAGCCCCGGCUAACUACGUGCCAGCAGCCGCGGUAAUACGUAGGGGGCAAGCGUUAUCCGGAUUUACUGGGUGUAAAGGGAGCGUAGACGGUAUGGCAAGUCUGAUGUGAAAACCCGGGGCUCAACCCCGGGACUGCAUUGGAAACUGUCGGACUAGAGGGUCGGAGG
RNAcentral lists this ribosomal RNA (305 nucleotides) under uncultured bacterium. Its description in RNAcentral is "bacterial SSU rRNA". It matches the Rfam family "Bacterial small subunit ribosomal RNA", at positions 333 to 655 of the family's 1533-position model. The record is from RNAcentral.